This is a non-coding RNA of Hydra vulgaris (swiftwater hydra), 351 nucleotides long. The record is from RefSeq and is a predicted model, not a curated record. NCBI's taxonomy places the organism in Eukaryota, Metazoa, Cnidaria, Hydrozoa, Anthoathecata, Hydridae.
UCAACGUUAAAAACAAACCGCUUUUUAAACGUUACAUUUUCAACGUUGAAUAAGCGUUUAAAUUUAAACGUAUAUUAUCUUCUCAAAAAAAUGCGUUUAUUAAAUGUUGAAAAUAAGUACGCAAAUAAUCACUGUAAAAACGUCGCAAAGGUAAUGGUUAAUCAACGUUAGACAUUAGCUGCUUUUUCAACGAAUUUAAACUAUUUGAAAAACAACACUUAUUCAACGUUAUUUCAACGUUGGUUGAAAAUGUGGUUUGAAGCAGAGGCAGUUGCUCCAUCUUGUUCGAAAAAAGAUGGAUGGUUAUUUUGGCCAACUUGUGUUCAUGCAAUGAAAGCUACCUAUAAUAAU